This is a long non-coding RNA of Anas platyrhynchos (mallard), 938 nucleotides long. RefSeq lists it as uncharacterized. The record is from RefSeq and is a predicted model, not a curated record. NCBI's taxonomy places the organism in Eukaryota, Metazoa, Chordata, Aves, Anseriformes, Anatidae.
GAAGAAAUGACUAGACACAGAAAUCUGUCAAUCUAAUGGUUAACCAGACACAGAAUCUACCCGUCUAGAGAGAGCUAUUUAUAGCAGCUUUCUCCAGAGGAAGUGGAAACUUAAUUAGACACAGCAACACCCAUGUGAAAUAGAGAUUACUCCUUCAAAAGAAUAGAAUGCCUCCACUAUUUAAUAGCAGGAAUUUCAUCAGACAACAACAAACCUUUAUUACAGAUAACUAGAAUGAGCCAGUUGGAAACUAAAAGAGCAUCCUCUGCUGCAGAACACCAGAUGCUGUUUUCCAUAAAGUAAGAAUCUAGCAUCUAUCUGGAUGUCCAGCUGGAAAACUAGAGGAAAGGACCUUGAGGGAUUCCCUCGGUUAUGAUGAAAGCUGGUAAACCAGUCACAUGUUCAAAGCCGGGCAACUUCUUUACAAAAGUAGCUUCUUCUGGAUGGAAAAUAAUCACUCCAUAAAAGUGCAUGUCAGAAUACUCUAAUUUUUUUUUCUAUUUUGCAAUUCAGAACAUUUUCAAAAUGUAAAUGGCCCCCCAAAAGAAGACCUUUUAGGGGGAGUUUUGACUGUGAUUCUUGUUAAAAAAUAAUGACCGUGCCAUUUUCCCACAUGGUGUUUUUCUUUCUUGCCAGAAAAUUACCUCCUGUUAUUUACAGGAAGAAGUUUGGCCUGGGUUCCUUCUGUGCUCCCAAUUCAUAUUAAAGAAAUAGCAAAUGCUGUCAUUAAUAAAUAUAUAAAUAAAUAAAUAAAUUUCUAACUUCCCCCUUUUCCCACAAGGAAAAUAUAUUUAUGAACACCUGGUGAACUCUCACUAAUGAAACUCUUUGCCUGCCAAGGAAGUUCCCACCAUUGCCAGCUCUGAAAUAGGUAGUUCUUUUAAACAAUAAGGUUCAAUGGUGUUGAACUAAAAAUGUUGAUUCUCAUAAAAACUGCU